CCUACGGGACGCAGCAGUGAGGAAUAUUGGUCAAUGGACGAGAGUCUGAACCAGCCAAGUAGCGUGAAGGAUGACUGCCCUAUGGGUUGUAAACUUCUUUUAUAUGGGAAUAAAAUGUUCCACGUGUGGGAUUUUGUAUGUACCAUAUGAAUAAGGAUCGGCUAACUCCGUGCCAGCAGCCGCGGUAAUACGGAGGAUGCGAGCGUUAUCCGGAUUUAUUGGGUUUAAAGGGUGCGUAGGCGGGUUAUCAAGUCAGCGGUAAAAUCGUGGAGCUCAACUCCAUCCAGCCGUUGAAACUGAUGAUC
This 305-nucleotide ribosomal RNA is filed under the name uncultured bacterium. Its description in RNAcentral is "bacterial SSU rRNA". It matches the Rfam family "Bacterial small subunit ribosomal RNA", at positions 338 to 641 of the family's 1533-position model. The record is from RNAcentral.